RNAcentral lists this ribosomal RNA (274 nucleotides) under uncultured bacterium. RNAcentral's name for it is "partial 16S ribosomal RNA". It matches the Rfam family "Bacterial small subunit ribosomal RNA", at positions 523 to 796 of the family's 1533-position model. The record is from RNAcentral.
AUACGGAGGGUGCAAGCGUUAAUCGGAAUUACUGGGCGUAAAGCGUUCGUAGGCGGUUAUUUAAGUUAGAUGCGAAAGCCCCGGGCUUAACCUGGGAACUGCAUUUAAAACUGGAUAACUAGAGUUUAGGAGAGGGAAGUGGAAUUUCAGGUGUAGCAGUGAAAUGCGUAGAGAUCUGAAGGAACACCAGUGGCGAAGGCGACUUCCUGGACUAGAACUGACGCUGAGGAACGAAAGCGUGGGUAGCAAACGGGAUUAGAAACCCCGGUAGUCC